CCUACGGGUGGCAGCAGUGGGGAAUAUUGGACAAUGGGCGAAAGCCUGAUCCAGCCAUGCCGCGUGUGUGAAGAAGGCCUUCGGGUUGUAAAGCACUUUCAGUGGGGAAGAAAGCCUUGGGGCUAAUACCCUCGAGGAAGGACAUCACCCACAGAAGAAGCACCGGCUAACUCCGUGCCAGCAGCCGCGGUAAUACGGAGGGUGCGAGCGUUAAUCGGAAUUACUGGGCGUAAAGCGCGCGUAGGCGGUCUGUAUAAGCCGGUUGUGAAAGCCCCGGGCUCAACCUGGGAACGGCAUCCGGAACUGUCAGGCUAGAGUGCAGGAGAGGAAGGUAGAAUUCCCGGUGUAGCGGUGAAAUGCGUAGAGAUCGGGAGGAAUACCAGUGGCGAAGGCGGCCUUCUGGACUGAAACUGACGCUGAGGUGCGAAAGCGUGGGUAGCAAACAGGAUUAGAUACCCCAGUAGUC
Molecule: ribosomal RNA, 466 nt
Filed under: Vreelandella stevensii
Lineage: Bacteria; Pseudomonadati; Pseudomonadota; Gammaproteobacteria; Oceanospirillales; Halomonadaceae
Description: partial 16S ribosomal RNA
Rfam family: Bacterial small subunit ribosomal RNA
Source: RNAcentral